This is a long non-coding RNA of Cyprinus carpio carpio, 1372 nucleotides long. The record is from Ensembl. NCBI's taxonomy places the organism in Eukaryota, Metazoa, Chordata, Actinopteri, Cypriniformes, Cyprinidae.
AAAAAGAAGACUUUUUAAUUAAUGACUAAUUGAAGUGUGUUUUGUCCUAAUGCACUGGCAGAUUAUCAGAUUGUUUCUUUAAACAUCGAAUGACCUGAAAUAUUUUAUUCAUACUGUGAGACUUGAAGAUCUGACCAGAGGCGAGGCUUCUUCUGAAAUUGAAAGGCAUGUUAAAGGGAGAGAUGUGAACGAGUUGAGUGGCCCUGUUCAAGAGGGUCUACCUCAUACACUUGAGUUUGUGCUCUCAAUCGCUGUAGACUCGGAUCAAUAGCACUGCGGAAGCGAGAGAGAAAGAACACCUACAGAAUCAGCAGAACGAGGUUAAACUCGCCCGGAGAGAGGCGAAAAACGUUAAGUGGAGUCUGGAGCUUCGCCAGCAUGCAGUGAACCAGAGAAGUGGAGAGACGUCCCAGCGGCCCACAGCUCUGACAACACCCUUCUAUCCCCCUCUGAAAUCUUUAUUUACUGCCCCCGCACUACUGCUCCCUCGCUGGGGCAAUUAAAGCAUCGUUGUGUCAGACGGUGAGGCGGCGCACCUUUAUGAGGAGUGUCUGUGAAAUAAAGUCAAACAGGACUGUGGAAUGACACAAGGAAAACCAUCCCGGCUAGUCCAAACAUGGGAGCGAUUCUCAGAUUUCAGACCCCCACCUUGUCUUUUGUGCCGAGUUCAGUGAGGCUCCUGGUUAGAAAUGUACACACGUCUAAUUUGAGUUAGAAGAUCUGUGAAUAACCCGAAAGGGAUCAAAUUAAAAUUCCAAGACGGGUGGAAAAAAAGCGAUAUGGGGUUUGAAAGUGGCCCCUGCUUCUUUAAGCUGGAUUUAAGUGAUCAAAGUUCCAUAUGAGGCAGCCAUUGGUGGUAUUGAGUUACUCUAAUGGCUGCCAUGUGCUACUGCCGACGGGCCCGAUCUGCGGACGUCUCAAGGGUGUCGGGCGCAAGACAGUUGUAAAAAGAGGCUUUACAAUAGAGAGAGCGGCAAAAAACCAGAUGCAUGGUGCACUUUCAGACCUCGCUCGCUGGAGAUACUCUGCAUUUUUUUCCGAAUUAGCUCCAGAUUUUUUGAAAGCAUCGAUCAAGGCGUCCGGCGGGUCUCUCAAGACCGUGCCACCCGACAGCGGCCCCCUCUCUAUUGCUUAUUUACUGAUGCGUGGCUUCCCCAUUCCCACUAAACUGCAGGAGACACAAGUGACAAUAAAAGUCAAACACUCGGUGGUUGCCGGAGUCCUGGCUGGUUAUUAGUAUGUAAAUGAAAUCAUCACAGCUGUUCUAUGCACGGAGAGGGGGAGAGAGGAGACAACGAACCCUGCAUUCUGAUGCUGUCUCCUGAACAACCAUCAGGCGCUGGCCACCUCUUCCAUACCCUGCAGUCAAGCA